GACGAACGCUGGCGGCGUGCUUAACACAUGCAAGUCGAACGGAAAGGCCUUUUCGGAGGUACUCGAGUGGCGAACGGGUGAGUAACACGUGGGUGAUCUGCCCUGCACUCUGUGAUAAGCCUGGGAAACUGGGUCUAAUACCGGAUAGGACCGCACUUUAGUGUGUGUGGUGGAAAGUUUUUUCGGUGUAGGAUGAGCCCGCGGCCUAUCAGCUUGUUGGUGGGGUAAUGGCCUACCAAGGCGGCGACGGGUAGCCGGACUGAGGGGUUGGUCGGCCACAUUGGGACUGGGAUACGGCCCAGACUCCUACGGGGGGCAGCAGUGGGGAAUAUUGCACAAUGGGCGGGAGCCUGAUGCAGCGACGCCGCGUGGGGGAUGACGGCCUUCGGGUUGUAAACUCCUUUCGCCAGGGACGAAGCGUUUUGUGACGGUACCUGGAGAAGAAGCACCGGCUAACUACGUG
Molecule: ribosomal RNA, 463 nt
Filed under: uncultured bacterium
Lineage: Bacteria
Description: partial 16S ribosomal RNA
Rfam family: Bacterial small subunit ribosomal RNA
Source: RNAcentral